This is a long non-coding RNA of Xenia sp. Carnegie-2017, 173 nucleotides long. RefSeq lists it as uncharacterized. The transcript has 3 exons. NCBI's taxonomy places the organism in Eukaryota, Metazoa, Cnidaria, Anthozoa, Malacalcyonacea, Xeniidae. The record is from RefSeq and is a predicted model, not a curated record.
CUGGUAAAUCAAUUAAAGAAUAAACUUGGUGUAAAUGAGUAGAAAGAGCAAAACUAGUUUGUGCAGUUGUUAAUCUUUCAAUUGUUGCAGCUAAUAUCGCUGUUCCUGAACUAACUUCUGUUCCAUGACAAAUUUCAUCACCUAAAAUUAAACUGCUGUUGAUACCAUUGCUU